This 1816-nucleotide ribosomal RNA is filed under the name human gut metagenome. RNAcentral's name for it is "bacterial LSU rRNA". It matches the Rfam family "Bacterial large subunit ribosomal RNA", at positions 1016 to 2925 of the family's 2925-position model. The record is from RNAcentral.
AGGGAAACAACCCAGACCAGCAGCUAAGGUGCCUAAAUAACGCUCAGUGGAAAGGAUGUGGGAUUACACAGACAGUGAGGAUGUUGGCUUAGAAGCAGCCACCAUUUAAAAAAUGCGUAAUAGCUUACUCAUCGAGUGAUCCUGCGCCGAAAAUGAUUGGCGAUCAAGCGUUAUACCGAAGCUCUGGACUUUGCCGCAAGGCAGAGUGGUAGAAGAGCGUUGCAUGCGCGUCGAAGGGCGAUGGCGACUGACCCUGGAGCACAUGCAAGUGAGUAUGCAGACAUGAGUAACGUUAAGCCGGGUGAAAUCCCCGGCCGCCGUAAACCCGAGGUUUCCAGGGCAACGUGUUUCGUCCCUGGGUUAGCCGGGACCUAAGCCGAGGCCGAGAGGCGUAGGCGAUGGACAUCAGGUUAAUAAUCCUGAGCUCGCAACCCUUAAACUGGGGGGACGCAUGAGAAAAGAUGACUAGGUUAUUGAAUUCCGAGUUGAGUCCACGGACUCAGCGCAUCAUUGGAUCGAGUGCCAAGAAAAGCCCCAGCGUAUGCUAAGCGACCCGUACCGCAAACCGACACAGGUGGGUGGGUAGAAUAUACCAAGGCGUAAGAGUGAAACCUGGUUAAGGAACUCGGCAAAUUAGCCCCGUAACUUCGGAAGAAGGGGUGCCUGCAGCGAUGCAGGCCGCAGAGAAAUGGCCCAACCGACUGUUUAUCAAAAACACAGCACUCUGCAAAGACGCAAGUCGAAGUAUAGGGUGUGACACGUGACCAAUGCCGAAAGAUUAAGGCAAGGGGUUAGCCGCAAGGCGAAGCUCUAAACCCAAGUCCCGGUGAAUGUCGGCCGUAACUAUAACGGUCCUAAGGUAGCGAAAUUCCUUGUCGGGUAAGUUCCGACCUGCACGAAUCGUGAAACGAGUUGGGCACUGUCUCAACCAGGCGCUCAGUGAAAUUGUAGUGGCGGUGAAGAUGCCGCCUACCCGCAGAAGGACGGAAAGACCCUAUAGACCUUAACUGUAAGCUGUCAUUGUUUCUUCGGUUUUAAUGCUCAGAGUAAGUGGGAGACGCUGAAGACGCCCUUUAGGGGGCGUCCGAGUCAUCAAUGAGACACCACCCUUUGAAACUGGAGGAUCUAACCCUGAGCCGUGAAUCCGGCCAGAGGACCGUGUCAGCCGGUCAGUUUUACUGGGGCGGUAUCCUCCCAAAGAGUAACGGAGGAGCGCGAAGGUGGGCUCAGCCCGGUUGGCAACCGGGUGUCGAGUGCAUGGGCAUAAGCCCGCCUAACUGUGAGACCAACAAGUCGAGCAGAUGCGAAAGCAGGCCCAAGUGAUCCGGCGGUAGAAAGUGGAAUUGCCGUCGCUCAACGGAUAAAAGGUACCUUAGGGAUAACAGGCUGAUCACGCCCAAGAGUUCAUAUCGACGGCGUGGUUUGGCACCUCGAUGUCGGCUCGUCGCAUCCUGGGGCUGGAGAAGGUCCCAAGGGUCCGGCUGUUCGCCGGUUAAAGCGGCACGCGAGCUGGGUUCAGAACGUCGCGAGACAGUUCGGUCCUCUAUCCUCUGUGGGCGUUGGAAAAUUGAGGGGUUCAGACCUUAGUACGAGAGGACCGGGUCUGACGCACCACUGGUGCAUCGGUUGUACUGUCAAGUGCAUGGCCGAGUAGCUAAGUGCGGACGGGAUAAGCGCUGAAAGCAUCUAAGCGCCAAGCCCUUCCCAAGAUGAGUUUUCCCUACAGGUUCGUGGAAGACCACCACGUUGAUAGGUCGCAGGUGUAAGUGCAGCAAUGUAUUGAGCCGAGCGAUACUAAUUACCAAUUGACUUCAUC